Molecule: long non-coding RNA, 41025 nt
Filed under: Nicotiana tabacum (common tobacco)
Lineage: Eukaryota; Viridiplantae; Streptophyta; Magnoliopsida; Solanales; Solanaceae
Description: long non-coding RNA (NTAB_LNC003518)
Source: RNAcentral
UCAAAAUGGAGUCUCUUAUUUUUUAUAAAUAAAUAGUCAAAAAUACCAAAAUAUUUCAGUGAAUAUAAUAUGCCAACUCAGAUUCUUUUUUCUUUAUUUACGUAUGGGCCUAGGGUCAUAAAAUAAUCAAAGCGUUCAAUAACAGUGUUAGUAUCAUUUAUAUACAGAGAAUAAGCAACAUGCUUCAUUUAUAUAAGAGAGAGAAUGGAAAAGGAAAUGGACUGGAAAUUGGGCCAAGAGAAAUGUAGUCCUAAUAGACUUAAAGCGGCGGCAGACUUCGUUCAAAUGGAGGUGAUGGACUGGAAUUGGGCCUGAGAUCCAAAGAAACUCGGUAGACCCAAAUCCAAACAUGCAUACAAAGAAAAUAUAGAAGAACAUUAGUGAUGCCUCAUGAGGCCCAAUAUAAAUAAAGUUGUAACAUAUAAACAUGAUUAAGAGUGCAGCAAAUCCAACAUGAUAACACUGUAACAAAUAGACACUAUUAGAGUGAAAAACAACUCCUAUUUGUAUUAAUCCUAAAAGGGUUAAUGAGAGUCAAUGACAGAGAGCUUCAGAUAAUACCUUAUUCAUGGACAAGGUAUUCUUGGAAUCCUUGGUACUUUAGAGUUCACAAGGGUCUCAAAGACCCCGAGUAGUGCUUGUGUUAGGGAAAGACACCUUAACUACAAACUAGGUCCCAGCCUAAAUAAUCUUAAUGACUCACACUCACUCUUCCCCAAAGGUUUAGAUACAAAUGAGGUAUUCACUAAAUAAUCAACAUAAGAGCAGCAAUAGGCACAAAAGUUCAAAUAUGCAAAGUUGAGAGGUUGCAGAGAAUAUAAUCAAAAUGCAAGGACAUGAACACGUAAGGAAUUACACCAUUAUCCUUAAAAUCAGAGCUCAGAAUGUAAAGGUCAAUUAUUGUAGAUACUAACAAUAUCUAGGAACAUUCCACAUGUAUCAAAAUACUUAAAGAGACUAACCACAAAUGUAGAACAAGGUGAGUUCAUGGCAACCAUGAGUAAACUAAUCCAAAAUGCUAAAUUAAGUGAUGCUCAUUUAUCUCAUUAUUCCUACCGCGGGAUUCAAAAUCUCAGUAGUCCUUAACUAAGUUUACAAUGCUUCAACAAUCAUUUUAAUCGAUUAUCAGAACACUCAGAGUUCCCACGGACAUGGUUGAAUCCCAACUAUAUUUAAUACCUAUGCUAAGAGUCUUGUUUAACCAAGUAGAGACAUCAAAGUAGGCUAGGUAAUCAGUUUCAAUUUAGUCUAAACGUGGUAUCUUGUUCACUAAUCUAUCAAAUAAUCAAUCAAACAUCUAGUUUCACAACUAAGUCCUCUUUUAAAGCCAAGAUAUCAACCAAGCAUGGUGCAUUGUUAAGCUAAACAAGACAAAGAAGUAUCAGUAGGUUUUCAUAGGCCUAUAAGUGACAAUAGUAGUUUUAUGUCAGAUCUUUACAUAGCUCAGGUUGCUAAAUUACUAGGGCAGACAAGGUUUAACUUACUCAUCUAUAAAGCAGUUUUAAGUAAAAAGUAUAAUAGUUUAGGCAUGAAUCCUUCUAAAAGGAACAAACAAGAAGUCUAUGAGUGUAACUGGGUAAACACAUAAGCAUGAGGGUUAACAGAAUACAUUCAAACCUAUACACAAUGAUGUUUUCAAAGAGUUACAAGAUUACAGAACAUAUCAGAUAAGCAGAUAACCUGAUAAGUAAGUUAGUCAGUUUAGGCUAUGACAACAUACUUGCAUUGGAUCCUUAAGUGUGCACAACAAGCAAAGUUCCAAUAUUAUCAAAGUAGCCAUGUUAAGUGUAUGACAUGGUUCAAUAAGUGGUAUAACAUUAUUAACCCCAUAAUCAAUAUAAUGCAGAUGUGGCAGACAUAAAUUCUUAGCAAGGCAUCAAAUAAGUCUAAGAUCACAACUCAAUCAAGUUAGCUAAGCAUGGUGGUAUGGUUAACAAAAUAAUCAUGGAAAACAUCAUAAUUCUUUUAGCUAAUGAUAAGAGUUCAAUAGGAUUUAUAUCAUCUACUUUAGCAAACGUUAUCUAGUUAAGUCAUGGAUUUCAUUAGCACGGAUUAACUAUGAAUACUAGGGUAAUCAUAAGUUAUCAGGAGAAUAAUUAUUUUUAGAUCAAUGAGAACAACAUAGAACAUAGCAGGCAAUCAUAAGAUUACUAACAUAUAUCAUGAACGAAAGUAAAUCGGCAGCGAAGAUAUUAGAACCACCCAAUAAAUUCAAAUAAUCGAAAGUAAAGGAAGGGUCAGUAUACAAUGAACUUCUGCAGGGAAGCAAAGAAAACGAGAGUGAUUCAAUAACUAUUUAAGAAUCCAAUACUCAAGACUAGUACAACGAUCGAACUCGAGAUUAGAAAAGAAAGCAGUAAAGAGUGAGGAAACCUUACCUUUUCUUUCUUUUUGUAUUUCAGAUGGUAUUAGAUUGUCUAUAAGGUAAAGGUAUUGAAUGCCCCUUUUUAUACUGGCAUUCAAGUCUAAGGUUUUGAUUAAUUUUAAGAAAUAGUGGGGUGUGACGAUGGGGUGGAUGACAAUAGCAAUGUGGGUGAGAAACAGAAGCAGAAGAAGGAAUAGGAUUUCCUGAGAAGAUUCGACCAUUUGAAAUCAAAAACCAACGGUCAAAGCUUCAAUAUCCACAGGUCAUUGAGUUUGACCUAUGGACAUCUAAUAACAAUGAUGAAGCCUGUGAAACCUUCAUGCAUGCUUCCGAUUUGAAAGAACAUAAUAGGAACUCAGACGAUUUGAAGUUUCGCUUUUGAGUCUAGGGUUUUAGAUUUGGGGAUUUCAAAUCUCAGUGAUGAAAGAGGAAAUAAUCAAAGGGGGUUUGUGGGUGUAAGAGACAUUGUGAGUGUUGUGAGUUUUAAUUUUAUGACAUUGCACUGAUUUGUGAAAGAAUUUGGGAUUGAUGGGUGUGUGAAAGUUAAGAUAUUAGAGAGAGUUUUGGGAAAGAGGGGUGGUCGUUCAAAGACGAAAUGAUAAGGAUUUCAGACACUUUAUUUGGUCUCGUAGGUUUAAGGCGAGAGACGGGAUCUCGGCCGUUGGAUCAUUUGAUCAACGGACCUGAUAAUUUAGGUCAUGUGGAUUUAAAAAUUAUAUUAUUGGGGAAAGACAGGGACCGUUGGAUAUGUGUGAUCCAACGGUGGGAUAUAAUGUCACACAAAGUUUUAAAUAAUGGGAAAAAGCGAGAAUAAAUAUGGUCCGUUGAUGGUAUGGAUCGGCGAUUCGGAUGGCGUGUGUUUAUUUUGUGAAUGAGUGAGACAUGUGAUGUGGCAUACUUCUAUUGGCUCGAUGGAGAUGGCCUAGAUCACCAAGAUGGAAUGGAGUGAUUAUUUUGGACCGGGUCAGGUAGAUUUGGGCUGGAAUUGAUUUAAGGGAUAGCCAUAUUGUGUUUAAUCAAACUUUUGUAAUUUUAGCCUUUUAAGCUUUUAUACCCCUCUUAAAAUUAAUUUAAUUAAUUCUAACUAAAUGUGAUAAAAAAUAUAAUCAUCAAGUAUACUAUAAAUUACAUUAAUUAAUUAAUUAAUUAUUAAAAUAAUUUAUUUACCCAAAUUAUGAAGUUAAUUUUGGAUUAUUUAAAUAAUAAGCGAGUUAAUUAAAAAUCACGGAUUAAUUUGAUGAAUUAAUUAUAAAACUUGUGUAUACAAAAUAUAGAAGUGAGUUAAUAAUUUUAAAAUAGUAAGGGUAAUAUAUUUUAUAAAUAUUUAAUACUAAAUUAUUAAUCUAACAUUAUUAAUUACUAAUUUCCUAUUAUGUUUAUAUAAAAUAGGUAUUGUUGAUAAGAAAAUAUUUUCAAGACAUUUAUUGCAAAUCAUUAAGUAUAAAUAAUUUAAUUUAAAAGGGAGGGUCAAAAUUAGUCGUCAACACAUGCAUUCUAUAUUCAUAAAUAAGCAUUUGAGCACACACUACUUAGUGCAUAUCUCUAGGCAGUGAGAGCUUCAUUGAACAUGAGGAUUCAAGGUAGCUGUAUUGACGGUCGCAGUCCUUUGGAGUAAUAUCCUUAUAAUUAUACUGUCAUUUUUGUAUCCGAAUAGUAUUGUAUAUUUGAGAUAUUCUUAUGUAUUCAGUUAGAGCUUGUGACUCUGUACUACCUAGUUCAGUAUUGCCACUUUGUCUUGUAUUGAUUCUAUUUCCUCUUUUAUAUUAAACUCUAUUUUAUUAUAUCAUGUUUUUAUAGAUUUAGAUGAUGUUACGUGGUCGGUAUACCUAGUUUUAGAGACUAAGUGCCAUCAUGACCCAUGUGGUGGGAUUUGGAUCGUGACAAGUUGGUAUUAGAGGUCUAUGUUCAUAGGUUCUAUGAGUCAUGAGCAACUUCAGUAGAGUCUUGUUGAUCAGUACGAAGAUGUCUGUACUUAUCUUCAAGAGGCUACGAAACUAUUAGAAAAAUUUCACUUCUUCCAUUCCUUAUCGUGCGGAUUUAUUGUUUUCAGAGUUUGAGCCUUUAUCUUUCUAUUCUCUCAUAGAUGGUAAGGACAUGUGCUUUAGUUACUGAUGAUGCUGCCCCCUGGGCUAGUGUUGCUAGAGGCUGGUGCAGAGGCAAAGGCAUAGCACAUGCCGCAGCGAGGGGUUGUGCUAGGGCCGCGACUGAGGAGCCACUAGUAGCUCUGGUUGGCAAGCACACACAUGAGCGGCCUAUUUCUACCCCCUGGACUUUAGGAGAUCUUGGCACACUUUCUGAGCAUGUUUGGGACUUUAGCUCAAGUAAGGUUGAUUCUGUUUGCACCAGCUACUUCAAAGGCUGGGGGAAGAGUCUAGACUCCCGCUACACAUACUCUAGAGCAGUUGGCUCAUUUGGAUAGGCUUCGAUUGUAAUACUAGUGCAGCCCAUGAUUGCGGUCCAUCCUGAGGUCGGGCCAAUUGCGUCGGUUGAGGAGAAGAAUAGGUUAGAGAGGUUCCAAAAGUAUCAUCCUCCUCAUUUUAGUGGUGGGGGCUUUUGAGGAUGCACAGGGUUUCUUGGAUUAGUGUCAACGCAUUCUACUUACUAUGGGUUGGUGAAGUCGAGCGAGGUCGACCUUACUACUUGUCAGUUGACCAAACCAACAUAUAGAUGGUGGUAGACUUAUGAGGCGAGAAGACUAGCCGGUGCAACACCACUUGCUUUAUCCCAGUUCUCUGAUCUUUUCUAGAUGGAGUUUAUGCCACAUAUCCCCAGGGAUGAGUUACGCAACGAGUUCGAGAAGUUGCGCCAGGGGAGUAUGACUAUGUCCGAGUAUGUUAUGAGGUUUAUAUAGUUAUCUCUUCAUGCACACGCCUUGGAUUCCAGUGAUAGAGAGAGAGUAAGAAGGUUUAUUAAGGGUCUCGUCUAUAGCAUCAGAUUUGGGAUGGCACGGGAAUUGGAGACUGAGACUUCAUUCCAUCAGGUUGUGGAGAUUUCUAGUAGGUUGGAGCUUAUUUGCGGAGAGGAUAUGGGGCAUAGGGAGGCUUAGAAGCCUCGAGGUUCUGGAUGAUUUAGUGGUUCCCACUUUUCGGCUCGAAUCUAUCAUGGUAGAGGCUUUGUCAGUCAGCCAGUUCAGUCCGUAUUUCAGGUUACCCAUAUUGUUCUAGCUAGAUAGGGACCGCAGGGUACUCAUAUCAGACAAUCAUCUUUUAGUGAACCUUCUACAUGGGGUUCCCAUAGUGGGUAUUCUAGUCGUCCGGCGCAGACUCGGUACCAACAUCCAUGCCUAUAGAGGAGUUAUUUUGAGUGUAGUGAUACUUGACAUCUUAUUAGAGAUUGUCCCAGAAUUCGGAGGGGUGGACACCAGCAGGGUACUCGGGCUAUGGUUUCCGCUCCAGUUGCUACUCCACUUGCACAGCCAGCUAGAGGUUGAGGGUAGGCGAGUAGAGGAUGUCCUAGAGGGGGAGAAUAGGACCGUUGUUAUGCUUUCCCUAGUAGGACUAAGGUAGUCGCAUCAGAACUUAUCAUUACAUGUAUUUUUCUAAAUUGUUGUAGAGAUGCAUCAAUUUUAUUUGAUCUGGGUUCUACUUAUUCGUAUGUGUCCUCCUAUUUUUCUUUCAAUUUUAUUUGAUCCGGGUUCUACAUAUUCGUAUGUGUCAUCAUGACUCUCUUGAUACUUCUAUUUAUGUGACUAAAACCCGUUGGGAUUCUAUUGCGGUGGACCUGUAAUGACUCAAUCGGUCAUUUUUAGUAUUUGCACUUCGCUCGGUAGUUUGGGGGAAUGAGUAGCUCCGUAUGAUGUAUUAUGACUUGUGUAAAUAGUCGGUUUUGGUUUUCAGGUUAUUCAGAAUUGAUUUGGAAGAAUGAAUUUCAUGAUUGAAGCUUUAAGUUAGAAGAGUUGGCUAGGUUUGACUUUUUUAGAAUUUGACCUCAGAUUGGAGUUUGGAUUGUUUAUUUAGGUCCGUGUGGUGAUUUUGGACUCGGGCAUAUGCCUGGAUUUGCAUUUGGAUAAUUUCUAAAAGGUUUCGAUGCAAAUUGGCGAAAGUUAGAAAUUUGAAGGUUUGGAAAGUUCAUAAGUGUUGCGUUCGUUUUUAUAUGUUUCGACGUCAUUUCUUCAACGAUAAAUGGUACCACAUUAAGCAAAUGGUCUCCAAUUUUUUAUUUUGAUUGAAGCAUUAGAUCCGUAUCGUAAAUUUGGAAUUAUAGCAAUUGGAAUCAUCAAGUUUGACAUCGUAUAAGGAAAUUAUUAUCAUUUUACUAAGAAUUGGGUUGCCAGAUUUUCCAGAUUAAUUACGAAAUUAUCACUAAAUUCGUGUUUAAAAAUCUGCAUCAUUUGCAAAUAUUGAAACCAGCAUAUCUCCUUAAGCAUAAGGUCAAAUGGAGUGAUUCAAAAGCAUAACAUGACUAAAAUUUCACAAAACAUCCAUUGGAGGCAUUAAAAGUGAGUUUCGGCAUCGUUCGGAAUGACAAACGAGGCAGAACAGCUGGGCAAAAGCAUAUAAAUUAAGGGUUUGUUCAUUUGGUCAUAUUUUGAGUUGGGGAGCUCGGAUUUGGACGAUUUUUGAAGUGAUUUUCACCACAUGGAAUGAGGUAAGUGUUCUAUACUCAUUUCUUAUUAUAUUUCAUGAAGUUCAUUUUUGGCAAUUGGUUGAUGAUUUCAAAAGUGAGAUUUGGGGGUUUUUGUCUAAAAUUUCAUAAAGUAAAUUUUUGAGUUUUGAACAUCGAUUUGGAGUCAGAUUUUAGUGAAACUAAUAUGGUUGGACUCGUAAUUGAAUGUGUUUCAAAUUUUAUAAGUUUCGUCGAGUUCUAAGAUGCGGGCCCGGGUUGGACAUUUUGGUUGAUUUUGGGCUUUUGAGUAAAGAUUCGACCUUUAUCGAUUGGAUUUGAUUUCUUUGGCAUUAUUUGAUGUAUUUGAGUUGCUUUUGGCUAGUUUUGAGUCGUUCGGAGGGGGUACAUGUGGGAUGGCAUUUCGGGAGCAUCGUCAGGCUUGCUCGGUGUUGGAUUUGGCUUGUUCGAUGUAAGUUACACUUCUAAACUUAGUGUUGGGGGUAUGAAGCUCUGAAUUAAGUGUUAUGUGAUUGAUGUUGAGGUGAGCGCAUGCUAGGUGACGGGUGUGUGGGCGUGCACCGUAUAAAUUGUGAUUUAGUCAAUUUCAUGGAAUUGUGUAGCUAUUUUAUCUGAACAUUUUUACUGUACUCUAUGUGUUAGAGUAUUUGAGCUGUAAUUAAUGCUAGAAAUCAUGUUUAGGCUAUAUGUUGGUACUAUUUGGACCCACAAUGGUCGUUCUUAGCUGUUGAGGUAUUUGUUUAAUUGCAGUUAUGCACUCAGUCGCAUUUAUCAUUACACAUUAUAUCUCAGUCUAUGUUAUUAUGUAUUGUCACAUCUCGUAUCAUUGAUUAGGGCUACUUAGUAUGAGAGUUGUGAGGCCAAGGGACUGGAGAUAUUGAUGACCGAGUGAGGCCGAUGGCCUGAUUGUGAGUGAUAUUUAUGGGAUCGGGUUGCACGUCGCAGCAUGUUUUAUUUAUUUAUGCCUGGAUCUGGCUUAUUAUAGCGCUUGGGAUGAAGGAGCCCCUCUAGAGUCUGCACACCCACAAUGAGUGUAGUUGAUUUAUAUUUAGGGAUGGAUCUUCCCUGGGCUAGAUUAGCCAAAUAUAGUACUGAGUGUGAGGUUGUAUUUAUGUCUGGUUGGGCUAGAUCUGCCCUGUACAAUGCUGAAUAUUGAGCGUGAUGAGUGAGAGAGCGAGACCAUGAGAUUGAGUACUCUAAGAGUGUGAGUACAUGAGUUCAUCACUGAGAUACAUUGUAUUUGACAUGCGUACUUGAGAUACAUGCAUAGAGAUGCAUUUCCUUCUGCUACCCAGUUUUGGUGACAUUCAUGAUCUUACCUGUAUCUUGACAUGUAGGCAUAAAUAUGUAUUUUCCUCAUGCUAUUUGAAAAUGAAAACAUCUUAUUUAUUGUUGAAGGGUUUUUGGAGAAAUCACAGUUUUCAAACAUACUCGUAUGCUUUUGGGACUUUCGGUGAAAGAUCUAGGAUUUAUUCUCAUACUUGAAAAGCAUGUCUAUUUUCCGUAACUGUGAACGAGUUGAGCAUCUUACCUCUAAGUUAUUUUCAUGUACCUUUUUUUUAUAUUGUUAUGAAUUGUUGCUGGUUAUUGGAGUUGGACUCUGACCCUUGUCCCAGCUCGUCAUUUCUUUCAACCUAAUGUUAGGUUUGUUACUUGUUAAGUACAUGGGUUCGGUUGUACUCAUACUACACUGCUGCACCUUGCGUGCAAAUUUUGGAUGUUGAUAAUUCUAUGUAUGACAGAAGCAAGCAUGGAAGACGUACUUGCAUUCCAGUUACAGCUGCCUCUUGUUCAUGCUAGCCCUAGACUUAUAUAAAUCUAUUUAUGUACAUUCGGACAUAUGGUGUAUUUAUUUCAUACUAGCUUUGUAAAUUCUAAAUCUUAGAAGCUCAUGACUUGUACUAACAGUCCUUGGGGGAGUUGUAUAAAAUUCAGUUAUCUCAUAUUUGACUCACAUCAGUAUUAUUAUAUUAUGCUUUAUUGUUAAUUGGCUUACCUAGCGGGUCGGAUUACGUGCCAUCACGAUGGUUCAAUUUUUGGGUCGUGACAAAUUGGUAUCAGAGCUCUAGGUUCAUAGGUUCUACGAGUCAUGAGCAAGUGUCUAGUAGAGUCUUGCGGAUCGGUAUGAUGACGUCUAUACCUAUCUUCGAGAGGCUACAGGAUAUUUAGGAUAAUUUCCCAUCUUUCUUUCCUUGUCGUGCGAAAUUGAUUCAGCUUGAAACAUAACGCUUUGAAUUUUUUCCACGCAUUUGUGUGCGCAUGUGAGUGCUCGGUAUCAGUUGUGCAUCGCCAGCUUGUGAUUCAAUGGAUGAGGUGCGAGAUGUGAUUUCGGUGUGCUGAUGAUGGGCCAGUCUGGAGGGCUUGAGGCCGAGUUUUGACUUUAGCUUUACCACAGUGAUUUUGGUUGUGUGAGAACGUGCUUUUGGACUUAUAAGUCUGGUAGUGUCCCUAUUAGUGGAAUUUAUGGCUCGAUGAGUGGUUGGAUGGCUAUGUGAUGAGUAAGAUGUGGCCGUGGGAUGUGUUCAGAUGGUUUGAGUGUGACGAGAAGAGUUAUCUUGAGAUGUAAAAGGACUAUUGGGUGCUUGAUUUUUGUCAUGAUUUGACGUAUAGUCUCGAGUUAUGACUGUGUUGAAGGAAUCUUCAUGUUUAAUUGUGGAAUGAAUGGGAUUCUCAUGACUUGUUGAUGAGUUCAGACUCAGGAAGAAUAAGUGAUUUCGUGGGAGUUGUGACUGUGAAAGGGCAUAGAGAGAUGUCAGUUUGAGGCUAAGCAGGCGGGUUAUCACCUACGGGGUGUCCUGAGGUUGUGCGAUCCCAAUGUUAUUUCUGUGGAGAAUUUUCUCUUAUCGGUGGGUUAUAUGUGUAGCAACUUGAGUUUGGAUCACUUGAGGAGGUUGGCUUGACUGUCACGAGGAUGAACGCUAGCUUAGCAGAUGAUUCGAGGUAUUAUAUGGUUUGUGUUACAUGAGCUUAUGAAGGAUUUAGUUGAAUCUUAUUGUGGUAUUAUGGAAGUAAUAGAGUAUGGGUAUUGUGAGUUAUCGAGUGUUUUGAUCUAUGUCUUUGAGCCAAGUGGGGGAGUUUGCUAUUGACGAUUUGAUUGCAUGGUUACGUGUUGUAUUGGUUUCGGUCUGAGGCAUACUUGUGGAUCGGUUAUGACUUGUAGAGGCUAGUUUUGAGGAUGUCUUAAGCAAGGAAAUUUCUGGAUGUAUGGUGUAUUAUAUUUUAUGGGUAUACAGGAAUCAUGGAAUGAUUGAGGUUUUAUUCAUGAAGGAUGUAGUGCGCAUGGAGUAGGAAUUUGAUCGGUUGAGUUAAGGCGAGGUUACUUAUAUGGGUGUUGUCGUGAUAAUGGGGCACAAGUCGUUCGGCCCAUUUGAGGCAGUGCAAUUGAGAUUUGAGCCGAGUGGAUGACUCUCGAAAAAGUUCUAAUAGAUUCAAGAUUUUUAUGUAGCAAUUGUGAAUUUUUUCGGAUUUGUAUAUGGCUAGGAUUGAGAGUUUUCAUUGUAUGGUGUCGAGACUUGUGGAAUUUCUAUAUCAUUAUGGAUUCUACAUUUCAGCAUCAGGAAGGUGAAGUAAAACGGCUUUAGAUUCACAGAAGGUAUCUUCAGAGUGGGUGUCUGGGUUGUGGUUCUUUUGGGGUAUUUAAGAGGGAAUACAACGACAUAUGGGCCUUAGGGCAGUGUGGUUUUAUUCUAAUAUCUUUUGGACUGAGUCUUGGUUGAGGAUCAUGGUAUUAUAGUGAGGAGGAGUGUCAACUUGAGGGUAAUUCGGAAGGAACUCGGAGAAAUAGGGCAACCCGAUAGUAGGUUGGAUCAAUAUGGUAAUGGUAUGCUCGAUUCAUUUAGUUCUAAAGACGUGGUGAGUCUCUACAGGUGUUUUGUAGCAGUACUCUUGGGUUUGGGGACUCGCGUAGCUUGGUUGAGUUAGAGAGAUUCAGUUCUGACGACUUGAUUAUUUGCAAAUGGAUUUCAAAGUGCUCUCGAGGAUUUCUACCAUUGUUAAAGGUGUAUAUUUCUUACCGGCCUGAGGAACAUGUUGUGUAUUGUAAUUUUCUCCUUGAUGAGAUCAAAUGGAAGGCUCCUGGCCAAUUGAGUAUGUAGUUUGCUUGCAACUCAGAGUUGAUUAUGAGAUUCUCAUACUUUUCCUAUGAUGGGAUGAUAUGUGUGGUGUGUUAUGUGGGAUUGAUAUUUGCAUGUGCAAGGUAACGGGUCCAUAUCGAAUGGAAGAUCAUAAAUUCUUAGACAGUAUGGACAACUUCCAAAGUUUAGAUGAAUGCUAUAACUAUUUGGUAAUUCCUGGGAAGGGUGCACAUUUUAGAAGGUGCACUGUGUUUAGACUUACGGAUGCUUCAUUGGUUGAUCGACUACUGAUAUUCAGAUUUUUCUAUGUGGUAUGGAAGAAUUAUAGAAGUAUUCCUUGUGGGAUGAUCGUGUAUUAGAUAUACGUUAGAUAUUUGGAUGACGGAGAUGGGAUUAGAUAUGGUGAUUCAUGUGUUAUAUGAACUUGGAGACCAGAAGCUCUCGAAAACAGAUCGCUUCAUGGUUGUGGAAUGUGAAGAUGUGGCCAAAGCUAGCCAGGUGAUAGUAUGUGUUAUGGUUCAGUCAUUAUGGACUUUCAGAGGGUUAAGUAUCUAUUUGUGGGUAACCAGAGUGGAUUUGGGGUCCAUUGGCAGGCCUAAUGAGGAUGUGUAUUCUAUACAGGGUCGGAUUGGUUGACUUUGUACUGUUGUUGUUAAGGGAUGUGCCAUUCGGUUAUAGUUGAGGUUAUUCGUAUUCUGAGAUGUUCUAUGAGUUACCCUUUUAUGCUACGAGGGGUUGGAAUCUGUUGGUUAUAGGCACACAUGUUGCAGUCCUAUUUGGGCCUUAUAUCAUAAUUUGAGCGAGAUAGAUAUUAGGGUGUUGAAUAAUUGAUUGCGCAUUUGAUUAUGUUCUUUCCAUACUGUGGUAUUUUGUUAUUGGUUCCUCCAUGGUUAUUGUCAUGCACCUUGGGUACUUGAGGUCGAAUUGCGCGUGGCUGUUGAUUUUGGGCAUGGUGGCUCGAGGUAUUUCAUAUGGACAGUGUUUGGACGAGGUCACGCAUUGCGAAGGAGUUAUGUUGAGAUAUGAUCCUUUAUGUCAGAUUCGUGUGUCGUGGUUCUACUAUGUAUGAUGGACUCGCGACAUUGCGGUUUUGGUGGUAUUUGUUGAACUUGCGAGAUGGUUCUCUCAUUUGAGUCAUUUUCCAUGAUUGAGUACAUUUGAAUUGUUACGUAUUGGUGCACGGAUUGCACGGUUUGUGGCUCUAUGUAGUAUUGGUGCCGCGUGUCAAAAGAGUAGCUUGUAUUUGAUAAGAGGAGGUCGUCAGACCUAGAAUGGGUACUAUCAGAUUUGAUUGCAGUAUAUUUGAAAGGACAAUGUCGCUGAUUGGCUUAGAAAUUGGCUAUAGUUCUUGUCGAAGGAGAGGGAUCUCCAAAGCUUGUUGAUCUGAUGAGUGAUUAGGAGUUUCUUCUUGUUUCUUUCAACAUCAAUAGUGUACGAAGGUUUUCGAAUGAGGUUUUGUUUGAUAUGAGGUUUAUUACUGGCAUUGGGUUAUUUUGAGUAGCUACUGUGAUCGAAUAUUUUGGUACGAGUAUGCGAGUCAUGUGGUAUGUUAUGUGAUUACAUAUUGGGUUAUGGUUAUGGCUUGAUAUAUCUUGUUCAGACUGAUACAGUGUGUGGCAGCGAGAUUCGGGUCUUGGAGGAAAUUCUAGGUGUUGGAAAUUGGAUUAUGUGAUUUACGGGCUGAGAUUGAAGUAAUGAUCUUCAGUUAUGUUGUGUUUCCGGGGCUAUAUGGAAUAGGGUGACGUGGAAUCACCCCCGAGUAUGUGCAUGGUAAGGUUACACACUGGUUGCUGGCUUUGGAACGACUCUCCGGACGUUCGAGGACGAAUGUAUAUUUAAGUAGGGGAGGUUGUAAUGACCUGACCGGUCGUUUUGAGCAUUUGCACUUCGCUCGGUAGUUUGAGGGAAUGAGUAGCUCCGUAUGAUGUAGUAUGACUUGUGUGAAUUGUCGGUUUUAGUUUUCAGGUUAUUCAGAAUCGAUUUGAAGAAUGAAUUUCAUGAUUGAAGCUUUAAGUUAUAAGUGUUGACCAAGUUUGACUUUUUAGUAUUUGACCUCGGAUUGGAGUUUUGAUGGUUUAUUUAGGUCCGGAUGGAGAUUUUGGACUCAGGCAUAUGCCCGGAUUUGCAUUUGGAUGUUUCUAAAAGGUUUCGACGCAAAUUGGCGAAAGUUGGAAAUUUGAAGGUUUGAAAAGUUCAUAAGUUUGACCAAGAGUUGACUUUGAUGAUCUUGGAUUCAAAUUGUAGUUUCGGGAAUUGGAAUAGCUUCAUUAUGUCACUUGGGACUUGUAUGCAAAAUUUAGGUUCAUUUCUGGUUGAUUUGAUAUGUUUCGGCGCGAGUUUUGGAGGUUGAAAGUCCAAAAUUCAGUUAAGUUCGAAUUGAGGUGUGAUUCGUCGUUUUGAUAUUGUUAUGUGUGAUUUGAGGCCUUGAGUAAGUACAUGUUAUAUUAUGGGAGUUUUUGGUAUGUUUGGAUGGGGUCCCGAGGGGUUCGGGUGAUAUUCAGAUAAGUUUGGGUUGUGUUGCGCUCAUUUUUAUAUGUUUCAAUGUCGUUUCUUCAAGCAUAAAUGGUACCACAUUAAGCAAAUGAGCUCCAAUUUUUGUUUUUAUUGGAGAAUCAGACCCGUAUCGUAAUUUUGGAACUACAACAACUGGAAUCAUCAAGUUUUGACAUCGUAUGAGGAAAUUAUGUUCAUUUUACUAAGAAUUGGGUUGCCAGAUGUUUCAUCUUAAUUACGAAAUUGCCACUGCAUUCGUAUUUAAAAAUCUGCAUUAUUUGCAAAUAUUAAAACCAUCAUAUCUCCUUCAUUAUAAGGUCAAAUGAAGUGAUUCAAAAGCCUAACGUGACUGGAAUGUUACAAUAAAUCCAUUGGAGGCAUCAAAAGUGGGUUUCGGGAUCAUUUGUCAAGAGAAACGAGGCAGAACAGCUGGGUUGAAGCAUAUAAAUCAAGGGUUUAUUCAUUUGGUCAUAUUUUGAGUUAGGGAGCUCGGAUUUGGACGGUGUUUGAACUGAUUUUCACCACAUGGAUUGGAGUAAAUGUUCUCUACUCAUUUUUUAUUAUAUUUCAUGAAUCUAUCUUUAUUUUUGGCAAUUGGUUGAUGAUGUGAAGAAAGACAUUGUUGAGUAUAUGGCACAGUGCUUGAACUAUUAGCAUAUUGAGUAUGAGCAUCAGAGGUCGGGUAGUUUGUUUUAAGGCUAGAUAUACUAGAGUGUAAGUGGGAGCGAGCAUAUCACUAUAGAUUUUGUGGUUGGGCUGCCAUGGACCUUGAGGAGAUUUGAUGUCAUAUGGGUCAUUGUGGACAGAUUGACCAAGUUUGCACACUUCAUUCCAGUCACUACCUACACUUCAGAGCAGCUGACUCAGAUUUAUCUUAGAGACAUUGUUGGCUUGUAUGGUUUCCUAUGUCUAUUAUCUCGAUUCAAGGCACUUAGUUUACAUUGCAUUUUUUAGAGGCGUGUAGUGUGAGUUGGGAACACAGGUCGAGUUCAGUAUGGCACUUCACAGCCAAAUGGAUGGACAGUCCGAGCGUGUUAUUCAAAUCAUAAAGGACAUGUUGCGAGCCUGUGUCAUUGAUUUGGGGGGCCAGUAGGAUCCGUUUUUGCCAUUAGCAGAGUUCACCUACAACAAUAGCUAGCAGUUGAGUAUCAAGAUGGCUCUAAAUGAGGACUUAUAGGGAAGUCAAUGUUGUUCUUCGGUUGGUUGGUUUGAGCCUGGGGGGUUAGGUUGUUGGACACUGACUUGGUUCGUGAUGCUUUGGAGAAGGUAAAACUAAUUUAUGAGUGGAUUCUAUAGCGCAGUCCAGGCAAAAGAGUUAUACUGAUAAAAAGGCUCGUGAUGUGGCAUCCAUGGUAGGUGUGAUGAGGCUCAGGAGUAAGGGAAAGUUGAGCCCUCGGCAUAUUAGUCCUUUUGAGGUUUUAGAGAGAGUUGGUGAGAUGGCCCAGAAACUUGCGUUGCCACCUAGCAUAUCGGGAAUUCAUCCAGUGUUGGUACUAUGAGGAUUCGUCUUAUGUGUUAGAUUUAAACUUGGUGCAGUUGGAAAAGGAUUUGACUUAUGUUGAGGAAACGGUAGCCAUUUUGGAUAGGAAAUUCGAAAGUUGAGGUCAAUGAACAUUGCAUUGGUGAAGAUUCAGUGGAAGGGCCAACCUUCGAGGAGGUGACUUGGGAAAUCGAACAUGAUAUGCGGAGCAGAUACCCCCAUUUGUUUGAUAUCCCAGGUAUGAUUCUAAACUCGUUCGAGGACGAACGUGUUUUUAAGAGGGGGAGAAUGUAAUGACCCAACUGGUCGUUUUGUCUAUUUAAGCCAUGUUCCCCUAUUUGAUGCUUCCCGUAGGUAUAUUUGUUGUUAUGUGACUUUUGAGGAUGGGUGGUUUGGUUUCAGGGAGGUUUUGUAUUGAAUUGGAACACUUAGUUCCUAGUUGAAAAUAUUCACCAUGUUUGACUUUUGUCUAUUUGACCUUGGAUCGGAGUUUUGAUAGUUCUGUUAGGUCCAUAUGGUGAUUUUGGACUUAGGCGUCCGGAUUGGAGGUUCAUUGGUUUAUUUGGCUAUAAUUGGCGAAAGCUGCCAAUUUGAAGAUUUAGAAGUUUAUAGGUUUGACCCAUAGUUGACUUUGUGGUUAUCGAUGUCCGUUUGGGAUUCCGAGCCUUGAAAUAGGUUUGUAUGCUUAUUUAUGAUUUGUAUGUAAAAUUUGGGGACAUUCCGAGUUGUUUAGGCAUGUUCGACGUAUGUUUGGAAUUCAAAAAGUUUGAUUUGUUUAUUAAGUUUGAAUUGAAGUUUGAUUCGUGGUUUAGAUGUUAUUUUGUGUGAUUUUUGUCCUCGAGUAGGUUUGUGUUUUGUUAUGGGAUUGAUUGGUAUGAUUGGACGAGGUCCCGGAGGCCUCGACUGUGUUUUAGGGUGUUUUCGGACCAUUUCCAUGAGUUUUGAACAACAGAUUUUGCUGGUGUCUGAUGUCCUUCACUUUCAUGGAAGGCAGCCACGUUCGCAAAGAAAAGAGUGGAGCUAGGUAGCAGGCCUUCGCGUUCGCGAGGCUCUAGGUGUGUUCGCGUAGGGGAGGGAGCCUAUGCCUUCGCGUUCACGAUGCUCCUGUCGCGUUCGCAUAGGGUAUUUUAUUUGGCAAUGAUUUUGUGCUUUGUGAACGUGAGGCAGAUGUCGCGUUUUUCGAAGGGUAUAACAGGGCAGAGAUUAUAAGUUGUUAUUUUUUGGACUUUUACUUAGUUUAUCAUAUUUUGAGAUUGGGAGCUGAGUUUUGGGCGAUGUUGGAGGAGAUUUUCACGACUUGGAUUGGUGUAAGUUUUCUUGACUGGGAUUUGAUUAUUAUUCAUGAUUCCAUCAAUGAUUUUAGCAUUUGAUUAAUGAAUCUAAGUGAGCAAAAAUUGGGGAUUUUGGCAAAACAUUUCUAAAAUUAAUAACAAGGAUUUGAACCCCGAUUCGGAGUAUUUAGAUGAAACUUGUAUGAUUGGACUCGUAUUCUAAUGGGUGUUCGGGAUUUGUGACUUUUUUUGGUUUCGGGAGGCGGGCCCGAGUUGAUCUUUUGGUUGAAUAUUUUAUUUUUGGUAAAGAUUGGAGCUUUAUUAAUUGGAAUCAAUUUCUAUAGUCGUGUUUGAUAUUAUUAAGUUGUUUUCUUCUAGAUUUGAUUCAUUCGGAGGCUUUGCGAGGAAAGGGCUUUUUAGAUUAUUGAUUUGGCUUACUUGAGAUAAAUAUCUUGACUAACCUUUCGUGGGGGAAUACCUCUUAGGAUUGGGCCGCAAUUGCUUAUUUAUGCUAUGUUAAAAACCAACGUGUACACGAGUUGACGAGCGUGUACACGGGUAUUGCCACAAUGGAUUGUAUUGGUUCUAUUUUCGCUUUUAUAUUAAACUCUAUUUUAUUAUAUCAUGUUUUUAUUGAUUUAAAUGAUUUUAAGUGAUCGGCUUACCUAGUUUUAGAAAUUAGGUGCCAUCACGACCCUUGUGGUGGAAUUUGGGUUUGACACACUCAUGUGCGAUGAUGAGUACUAUUUGACUGAGGACUAUAGUUAGAUGGUUUGGAUGUGGCGGGGAGGAUUUUAUUGGGAUACGAAGAAACUCGGGAGGUGGAUUCUUAUAACUUGUUGACGCGUAUAGACUCGAGAGGGUUAAUAGAUUGCAAAGUGGUUAUUACCAAGGUAGAGUCAUAUAAGAUAUCACUUUGAGGUCAAGCAAAUGGGUUAUUGAUCACGUCCAAGACACACCCCAAAAAAGGAUAUGAAAAGGUCGUAGCAAUAUAUAUUACCCAACGAGAGUUGGAGUCGUACAUAUUUAUAAGGGUGUUAAAGUAAACAUGUAAGUAGUCAACUUAAUGUAGCUUAAAUUAUCUUUCAAGCGAAAGUGGGUGUAGCAAAUCUCCUAAUUGAACUAGGAGGUUGCUAAGGAAUAAACCAACAAACACUUAAUAUACAAUAUUUCUAAGAAGUUUCAACAAAUGGAGAAAACCCUAGAGUUGUAGUCCUAACCUAGGUAUAAAUACCUCUCGAUUAAAGAGAAAAAUCUUUACUUGUUAGAUCGGGGUUGUUAUGACUCUCAAAACUCAAGUACUCACUAAAUACCUCUCGAUUAAAGAGUGAUUAUGCCCAAUUUAACUUUCUCAAGUCUAAAUGGGUAGAUAUAAGCGCAUUUCAUUAUGAGGCCAAGAUGGAUUAUCACUAUCUCUAGCCCAAAUCCGUUAACUAAACAUAAUCAAUCCCUCAACUAGUUUAAUUUCUUGUUAUCCAAGUUUUCCUAGACAUAGUUCCUCUUUAUCAAGUAAGAACAAGGUCAAAUAGGCAUAAAUCAAUGUUUGCAACCAUUAAUCUCAACUUUAACACAUAUACAUGGCUAAAUAACACUUAACCCAAUCAUAAAAAAGUAUAAUAUUAAUGGCCCAUAAGAUUGACAAAUAGGUUGGAUCACAACCCUAGAUAAAACUCUAGCUACUCAUACUACAAGACAAAGAAAGAUAAAAAUAAGAAGAAAUUAAAGAUAUAAAACUGAAAAUAAAGAAAUAGUAGAAGAUCUUCUCUAAUUGAAGCUCAAACUUGCUCAAAAUAGUUAAAACUAACUAACUCUCAUCUGCUACAGUGAAACGAUGCCCUAAAAAUCUAUAAAGUUAUAUGACUCCCAAAAUCUCUGGCAAAAAUGCCCUUCAGAGGGUUUGCGGCCUCCAAAUGACUUAUGUAGUCCUCAAUGUGCUGGAUUGACUUUGCAUGUGCUGUCAGUGGGUAGAGUUCUACGGUCGCACUUUAAAAAUUACAGCGGCACAAAAGUUGAUGUGCGGCUGCACUUCUAGUUUUGUGGACUGCACAUGAGGAGGUUUCAGGAUAGACUAACUGCUCAUUUUCUUAUCAUUCAAGUCAUCAAUGCGAACCAUUUUGAAGAUUAGAGUAUGACCACACAUUUUCUUCUGCGGACCGCACUUUUUUCCUAAAGUUCUUGAAGCUUCAUUUCAUCUUUUGCGGACCGCAAAUACUUUUGCGGCCGUAGUUCCAUUUUCGUGGACCGCGCUUUUCUCUGCACUUCUUCUCUUCACUGAAUUACCUAGGAUUAUCUCCUUUUUGUAUCAUUAUUCUUCCAAGGCCUUAAUUCCUUUCCAUUUUAACCAUUUUUAUUAGAAUUGAGAAUAAAAUUAGUACUUUUGGACUAAAACUAUAGCAAGAAGGCACUAAUAAGCGGUUAAAUUCCACACUUAUCAACUCCCUCAAACUUAAGUCUUUGCUUGUCCUCAAGUAACUAAAUUAGCACCCUCUUUUCGUCACUCUUUAUAGGCAAUUCAAGGAGUCAACCACAAGUCAUUCAUACUCAAUUAGGACCAAUAGUUAUCCACAACACCCAUGCAUUCUAGACAAGGUGUCCAAUUUUCAAAAUGAUACAUCAUGCCCAUCUCAUAUAAUUAUAGUGUGACAUUUAAGCCUCAAGGGUUAACUUCAUUCAUUAUGAAUUCUUGUUCCUUUAUGCUCGUCACGGUGGACUCCAAACUCUUCCUCUUCUACCUUCUAUUUACAUUGCUCACUUCAAAAUUUAACACUUAAUUUCUAAUGCAUCAAAAGUUUCACCCUUCUCUCACAAAGAAUGGUCACAAGUUAAACUUCAAGUACCAUGGGCUUUCUCUUCAUGUACAUCUUCACUAAUAUAAGCAUACUCGGUUUGAAGUCAAAUAGGGCUUCUUUCGUGUUGUAAUGAAUGCUUUCGGUUAGGGGUAGUGUCACGCCCUAAAAUCGAGGAGCGCGACCGGCGCUCAACUAAGUGAACCCGACCGAGCAAGCUUGUUAGAUUUUCUUCUAUCCAAACUCAUCCACGAAUGAAUAUAAUACAUAUUUUCAUUAAUUAGACAAAACGUGAUCAUGUCUACAAUACCAAUUCAUUACCAAUAGUUUUCGUCAUUUUUAAAGUCUCAAAAGGGACAAGAAAUACAACCACAACAUAAUAUUGUUUGUCUUUCCCAGCACCAAUACACAACCCACACUAUGUUUACGGAGCCUCUAUAGAUAAAGAAGAGUACAAUGAUAAUGCCGGCAAUAAGGCCUUGGCUAUACCUCAAACAUAAUACACAAAGUACAAAAGAUUCAUGACUCCGGGAUGAAAUGAGGCUGACCGAGUUAGCUGGGAAGAAGGUGUACUGCUAUCACUGAUCAAUAUCUCCUGCUGUGGAACCACCUGCAUCCAUUUAAAGAUGCAUCGCCUCCGGCAAAAGGGACGUUAGUACUGUCGAAUAGCACUAGUAUGUAUAACUAAACACCCUCUCAAUAGAAUAACAAAUAAUACAAAUAAGAUUAUCAUAAUAUUAAUGGAAGCCUUAAUCAACAUCAAACCUCAAUUUAGGAUCAAGACAGUGUUUCAAUUAAUUUCCAUAUCUCACAUUGGGAAAUGUUUAGUAUCGAUAUACCAUUGUCCACAAUUUCAUUAUUCACAAUACCAGUACCACCGUACUCUCAGCACGGUGUCUGAUCAUUAUCCGAUCGGCUAGGCUAUUUCAUUUGAGAUAUCAACCACAAUUACUCUCAAUAUCAAUACCACCAUCUUUAACACCGAGCCUGAUCACGACCUGAUCGGUUAGGCUAUCCAUUAGGGGCAUCGACCAUAAUCAUAAUUUCAAUCACAAUUUCCAGCACAAUCACCACCAUGUGUGCGGCAUGGUGUCCUAUCAUGACCCUACCGGCUAGGCUGUCUUAUUCGAGACAUCAACCUUUUUAUAUCAAUCAUCAUAUUUCAUAUUACUUUCACAUAUUUUCAUUUCAUUAGCACUGGUGGCCAUAAUUAUAAGAUCAUUCUUGGCACGUUGGCCAUAUUUAGUAUUUCAAGCUCACCUUUUAACUUUCCAACAUCAACAUCAUUAACAACAACAACAAUUCAAAUCAAGGCAUAUAGUACACAUGUGAGCAAUUAAGAGUUUAAGGCACAUAGAGAUUCUUCACAAAAUUUGGCAUAAUUGCCUUCAUUUGAAAUUAACUUGAAGUCGAACAUUUCUAAUGCACAACCCACAUUUUUAACACAUCCUCAAUUGAUAACAUAUCAUAAAUAAGGUAUUUGGAAUACUUGUUUAACAUAUAUCUUUCAACCCAAUCUUACUCGAAAUAGCCAAUUUUAUAAUGAACCACUCGGGACUUACAUAAUUCACAUGAAUAUCGUGGGAUCCAAUUCUAAGAGAAUAGUUUAGCCAACAUAUCUCAAUUUAGCUUUCUUAAACUCUAAAAUGUUCCGAAAUUUUUAGCAACUUCAAUCUAUUGUAGAAAUAUAACAAAUUGAAUCAAAAUUAGGAAGAUGAUUAUGGUUCUAGCUCAUUUGAGCAUUUUAUCAAACAGUAGGUGUGCAUUAAGGUUUCAAGGUCCUUUUAUGGAGGAUUCCAUCAUCCCACAACCCAAUCUUUACCAUUUUUAGCUCAACAAUCUUUCUACACCCUUUGAUAACACAUGCAUGUAAAAUAAACAACUCUCAUGCCGAAAAUGUAUCUUGUUAAUUACUCAUUUCUAGACAAAAUUUAAAAUUGAGAGUUAGGGUAUAGAAUAUUACCUCUAGGAUGAAGACCUAGUGAGUUUCCCUUCUUAAUCUUCCAAAAUUUGAGCAAGAAUUGAAUAACAAUUAUUGAAGAACACCUUCUCACUCUAGAGCACUCUCUCUCACUCUAAAAUGUCAGAUUUUAGCUCAAAAAUGGCCCAAAGCGUGUAUUUAACGAAGUAGGCUCGGAUUUUAAAAACCCAAAAAUGGAGCUCCGGAACAAGGUCUACAAUGGAUAUGCGAUCGCAUAAUCGAUAUGCGGACCGCAUAUCGGUCGCAUAAACAGUGCACAAUACUGAAAAACAUUUGUCUGUAUCUGCGGUCACUAUGCGGCCCGCAGACCUGUUCUGCGGUCGCAUAAUGAACCGCAGAACAGUCAUACAGUCGCAUAGUCGAUCGCAGAAUUUCAUCCAAACUGGCCCUCUCCUGCCUCACUUCUGCGGUCAUUAUGCGGCCCGCAGAGUGAUUUUACGGUCGCAUAAUAGACCGUAGAAACGCGUUUUUCUUCCAAAUAUUUUCCUUUACUUUCCGGUGCAUUAUAAAGGAAAUAUUUUUUUUUUGUAAAAUUUUAUGGGACCUUACAGGUAGUAUAGUAUAUUGGCUACAAUGCUUACACCUUUUCCUAAGCAAUUCGUUCAACAUUUAUUGGCUCAAAUAAUUUUAUAAGACACCAUGGAUGGAACUCUUGAAGGAUAUUCUUCUUUUUGGAGGCUAGAGAGACUUUCCAUCACUCUUUGUUGUCAAUUUCAUUCACUUUCUUCCAUGAUUUUACUUUAGGAUUUUUCUCUAGGCUAGAGAUACUUGGCUCACUCUUUGUCAUCAAUUUCCUCUAUGCCCCUUCUUAGGCCCCUUUUUGUCUUCAUUGUUUACAAUACUUGUUUUUUGUUUUUCUUUUUCUUCCAUGAAGAUCAUCUCUUCUUUCUUUUUGGUGCCUUGGUAUCUCUUUAGAUUUAUCAAUACUUCCCCAAAACUUAAUCUUUAUUCCAUGUGAUGAUUAUGAGUGCUUAGGAAUGUUUGGGGUGCCAAGAAGAGAUAUGAACAAAAAUGGUGAAAAGCUUGUAGCAAGGUUGCCAAAAGAACAAGGCUAAAGCUAAAAGGGGGUUUACUAUGGAUAAUGAUCAUAGGGUGGCAAUUGAAAACUCAAACAAUAUCAUAUUCCAAAUCAAGCAAACUCAAAAUUUCACCUUGAAUCACACUCGGGGAAAGUUCUAGAAUAUCCACUUAAGCACUUGGAUUAGAAACAAAAUUUCACCUCACCUCUCCUGCAAAUAGACCGUAAAAGAAGAUCGAUUCCAAAACCCAUAAUGACCACAAUCGAGUUACAAGAUCUCUAUGGUCUACUAAACUACGUAAUGAUUCUCAAAGAUAAUACAAGAGCCUCAAAGUCACUUUCCUAGAGUUACUUCCUCAAAAAAUGAUUCACAUCCUUGUCUCAAAUCAUAAGCAUGCAACUAAGUAUGUUGGAACCAUAUGAAGCUUAAAUAACCUGUUUUCAUAGAAGAGCUUAAUUAGGCUUUUAUUCACUACUAGUUACUACUAUCAUUACCUAAACAUGCAACAAACUAAUUCCCUUAAGAAAGUUAUCACACUAUCCAUCCUCGGAAAAAGUCACUCGGUUAACACAAUAAACAACCUUUGGAAAGAACUAUGACAUUAAGAAAAACAAAGGUUUAUUGAACAUAACAAGAAAUAAAAACAUAUCUAUCAAUAAUAGCAAAACAUAACUACUAAUUACUACUAAACGUAUCAAACUACUAUAAACUAUCAAAUAGUAUCAUCAAAUUAUUACAUCCCAAUUCAAAUCAUCAAAUCCUCCACCUCCAGAGAAAAGUAAGCAUUGUCCCCAAUGCUUAAAAAUAUAAUAAAAGAGUAAAGAAUGAUAAAGAGACUCCCUACGCAUCCUCGGUCACUAGGGUAUCACCAAGUGGGUCAGUUUGGGCUGCCUCAGCCAACUGGAUAGUAUCAUCAUCCAUGGGAAUUUUUUGAGAUGUAAACAUGUCACGCACCGCAAAAGUACUGGAAAAAAGGCAAGGCUCCUCAGUGUGAGUGGCAUGGGCAUCUUAAAAGGUCAGAGCUAGGUAUGGCUGGGCGAGGUGAAUAAACAUGUUAAAAGGUAGGAUGUCAGUCUCGGUUAUCUGCUUCACUUUAGCCUAUAGUGCCUCAAGUGAUUGCUUGGUGGCCUGGGACUUCCUCAUCUUCUUUAACUACUUGUUCAACCGCUAAAUCACUGAACCAUGUUGAACCAAUGGAUCCAUUAUCACCUUAUAGUUGUCUAAUAUCUAUUCAAGAUAGUCAUAAGUGACAGAAGUGGACUACUCGGGUACUGCAUCAGAUAGCUCAGUCAGCUUUGUUGUAGCUAUCUGCCUCCAAUUGUUGAGGCUCACCAAUGUCUGAGAGACCCUCAAAGAUAAUAAGGGCCAGUAGGCAUAGGUACAAGCCUCAGUGCUGGUGUAGGUGGUGGGAAACAACUAAUGGUGGCUUAGAGUCAGUAGCCAUGGCAUGGGUGGAAGGCUCAGCUAAGGAUGAAUGAAUGUCAGAUGUACCAGAAACUACUAUUACAGGCUCAUAAGACUGGCUAGUAGGAGGAUGAGGCUUGCUGCUUCUCUUUGCCUUGGGUUUUCUAGUGUCUUGCAGCUUGUAUAGGUCAACGGGGCAUUUUGGCUUGGUCUUGGUCUCGUGUGGUCGAGACUCUACCUUAGCAUUCGUCAUAUACACUAUCACAGUGCUCGGAUAUGGGAAGAAGGUGUUAGACUAUUGUGCACCAUAGUAAUGUUGGCCGACAUCGAGGCACCCACAUUAACUAGAUACCCAACCAUAAUGGAGGCCAAUAGAACUGCCAUUUUCAAGGAUAAAUGGUUCUCAUUUAAACACGGAUCAAGCCAGGUGCACACAAAUAUCUUCCAUCCCUUUGCCUUGAAACUCAGAGUCUUGCGGAAAAUUUGUGCUCCCGCAGCCACCCAAGGUGGAGUAUACCCUGGUGCAAGAAUCUUAGCAAGCCAUGGUCGGACUGCCUCCAUCUCAGCUAGUUUAGCUAAGUACACUAUUAGCUCCACAUUUUCAAGUCCCAGAUACUCAUUGAGGAUUCUCUGGUCAAAUUUUACUUUGCGGUUGCACACUUUGGUGACCGUUGUCUCUUUGACAAUGUCUGUUGUGUUGGCAUACAACUCACGGACGAGAUGUUAUUUUACAUCAACCAACGGCUCUAUGAAUUACAUCCACCUUUUUCUAUAGGUGAAUUGCUCUAAGAAUGCCAGGUUGUAUUUGCUCAAGUCCAUGGUGAGGAAUUGCAGCUCAUGAGUCAAGAAGUUUUCUUUCCAACCACGUUUGAAGUCGAGGAAAGUAUGGUAGCUUAGGAAUCUAUUGUUACAGACCAAAAUUUUCUUAGUCUUCUCUUUCAUGUCCUUUUCUACCUUGCCCCCUUUUCCAUCAUCAAGGGCAUUAUCUGAAUCAGAAUUGGCUGCACCCAUAUUGGACUCAUGGCUAGUACUGGUGGUGUCUUUGGAUGUAGUAGCAUGAGAUUAGGGCUCAGACUAUACCUACGGUUGAGACUGAUCUUCAUUGCACUCUUCAGACUCAGCAAAUGAGUUCCCUUCAGAGUCUUCCAUAGAUGGUACAUAAGAGUCAAACUCGGAUAAACUAUGUCCUCUCCCCCUCCCAUCUGUUUUCUUUUUGUGAUCAUCUUCUGUACACUCUAUGGCAAGGUGCCUCUACCAUUGACCCUGUCUUGUCUAUCCUGGCAUUUGGAAGUUUUAGAUUUUCCUCUUGAUCGUACCAUUGUCUGUUAAAACACAAAGAGAAAUGUCAAUGGUCAUACAAAUCAUUGACCUGUGGUACAAGGCAGUUAAAAGUCAUAUAGAUUUGGUGAAGCCUAUAAGGAACAUGCAAGAAGUAGGCAGGAAAUGCAGUCCACAAAAUUUACAGUCCGGUCCGCAAAGAGGAAGUGCGGUUCGUAAAAUUCAAAGUGCAGUCCGCACUUUUAGUAUUGCCAUGUUAGGUCUCAGAGAUAAUUCCUGAUCAAUAGUGUGGACUAGCCUUUGCGGCCGCAAAAAAUCAUUGCGGUCCGUAAAAUUAAAAUUCUGGUCUGCCCUUGUGUUAGAGUUCUCAGAUCUCAGAGAAUAAGUUCUCUAAAGAACACUGCGGAUAUCACCUUGCGAUCGCAAAUUACAACUGCGAUGCACAGAUUUAAAUUGUGGUCCACAUAUUUCAAGCACUAAGUCAGUUGGUUCAAUCAAGCAUUUGCGUACCGCAAAAAUUUUGCGGUCCGCACAAUUAGCAACAUAGGAAGUAAAUAUGUGGAAGCCUAGUAAAAAUUUAAGCAAAAAAAUCGAAUCUAUCGGGGAAACCAACAAAAAGCAUGAUUUUAGUAAUUAUUAGCAUCCUAGACCCAUUCUAAGAAUAUUUCACAGAUAACCACUCAUGUUUGAAUCCACGAUGAACAAAUAACAGGGAAGAUAACAGAGAUAAAGUAAAAGAGAAAAAAUAAAAGUUAAAAGGAAAACAAAAGUAGAAAAGAUUGAAAUAUGCCAUAGCAUAUUGUGUUAAUGGAAGUAGAAAGAUUGGAGUGUGAGUUUUUGAUGGCGAAAAACAGUGUGUACAAGUGAUUCCUCAGUAAAAAGCCUUGGGUUAGGUCAAAUGGUGAAAAGCGCAAAAGUUUGACCUAAUCUUCCAUUUAUACCUACUGUUGGGUCCGGUUAAAAAGGGAGAGAGUGUGGAAGUAAAAUUUCAGUUGUGGUCUGCACUCAGUUACCUGGGUGGUGGAAAACAUGAAGACGUGCGGUCCACACUUUUUCAAGUGUGGCUGCACUUGUGCCAACCUUUUUCAGUGAAUCCUCUGAAGCUUCUCAUAUGUAGUCGCAAAAUUUUGAGCGGCCGCAAAAAGCUCUGCAUUGUUGCCAAUAGAAUUCAGAAAAUCCACAUUUGGUACUUGGGUUGUCUCCUCAUUGUACGGUCCGCAAUCAAAAUAUGUGGCCUCACUCCAAUUUUUGAUGUUCGCAGCCAAAUAUUUGCAGGCACACUAAUAAAUCUGUGGUCCAUAAUUCUUUGAAGAGCCUCAACAUUUUCAUCUCACAACACCUAACACUGGUUAGUGCAACACACAUCAAAUCUUAUUGAAAAUAAUAAAACAACAUCUACACAAAAAAUGACGAAAAGAUCAAAAGUAAAAGAGCUUAGGUUGCCUCUCAAGAAGCACCUUAUUUAAUAUUGUGGCACGAUGCAUUGUAAAAGCACCAUAAUUUGAAGUAAAGGACCGCCACUACGUGGAUUUUACCAACUUUUUCUAAGUAAUGCUUCACCCGAUGACCAUUGACUCAAAAGAUUUCAUUGUUCUUGUUCUUUAAGUCCAAUUCACCAAUGGGAGUCAUACUAACAACUUCAAACGAACCACGCCACUUCGAUUUAAAGUUCCUGAAAAAUAUUCUCAACCUUGAGUUGAACAAUAAUACCAGAUCACAUGCCUUGAACUCCUUGUUCCAAAUAUACUUAUCAUGAAGGUAUUUCAUAUUUUCUUUGUACCAGGACGAACUCUCAUAUGCAUGGUAUUGGAAUUCAUCCAACUCAUUCAAAUGUGCAACUUGCAAGUUAGCGGCUACAUCACAAUCAAGAUUUAGCUUCUUCAAGGCCCACAUUGCCUUGUGCUCCAAUUCAACCAGGAGAUGACAAUACCAACCGAUACGGAAACAUUCUAAUAGGUGUUUUGUAAGCUGUUCUAUAUGCCCAUAGAGCAUUAUCAAGCUUCUUGGACCAAUCCAACCGAUUUGCAUUCACCGUCUUUGACAAUAUACUCUUUACUUACCGUUCGAAAAUUUCAACUUGACCACUUGCUUGUGGAUGAUAGGUGGUUGUUACUUCAUGAGUGACAACAUAUUUUCCAAGCGAAGUGUCAAAAUUCUUGUUGCAAAAGUGCAACCCACCAUCAUUUAUGAUUACUCUAGGAGUCCCAAUCUCUUGACUAUGUUCUUCAUCAAGGAAGAGACGACAAUCCUAGCUUCAUUGUUAGGUAAAGCAAGGGCUUCAACCCUCUUAGACAUGUAAUUCACCGCAACCAAGAUGUAAGUAUUACCAAAGGAACUCAUAAAAGGGCCCAUUAAGUCAAUACCCCAAACGUUGAAGAUAUCAAUCUCCAGGAUGGUAGUAAGUAGCAUCUCAUGUUAUAUUGGAAUCCCACUUGCCCAUUGGCAUUCAUCACUUCUUACCAAAUCAUUUGCAUCUUUGUAAGUAGUAGGAAAUUAGAAACCACAACUUAGGACCUUUGUUGCCGUUCUUGAUCCCCCAUAGUGACCACCAUAAGGCGAAGAAUGACAAGCCUCAACAAUGUCACUUUGCUCUUCAUCUGGCACACAUCUCCUAAUCACCACAUCUAUUCAAAUCCGAAAAAUGUACGGUUCAUCCCAAUAAUAGUCAUUGCAAUCCCUCUUGAUCAUUUUUCUUUGGUUUGAAGUGAACUCUUCCGGAACGAUAUCGCUAACAAUGAAAUUAGCCAAAUCCUAGAACCAUGGUACCUCUUGCAUUGAAAGUGCCAAGAGUUGCUCAUCGGGGAAUGAGUCAUUGAUCUCAAGGCCAUUAUGUGGUCUUCCCUCCUCUUCCAAACGAGAUAAGUGGUCCACCACUUGGUUUACACUCCCUUUUUUGUCUUGGAUCUCGAUAUAAAACUCUUGCAAUAGAAGCACCCAUCUCAUCAACCGAGCUUUGGAUUCCUUUUUACUCAUAAGAUAACGGAGUGCUACAUGAUCUGUUUGCACAAUGGCCUUGGCCCUCAUCAAAUAAGGACGAAACUUCUCAAUAACAAACACAAUGGCAAGUAAUUCCUUCUCGGUAAUGGCGUAGUUGACUUGGGCACUAUUCAUGGUCUUACUAGCAUAGUAGACCGAGUGAAAUUAUUUAUUAAUUCAUUUCCCCAAAAUAGCCCUAACCGCUACAUCACCUGCGUCACACAUGAGCUCAAAUGGUAACUCCAAUUCAGGUAUGUAAUGAUAGGAGUGGUUGUCAACUUGAGCUUUAACUCUUCAAAAUCUAUCAUGCAAUCAUCAUUGAAAUGGAACUUUGCAUAUUUCUCAAGGAAUUUGCACCAAGGGUUCAUGACUUUAAGAAAAUAUUUUAUGAAUCUCUGGUAAAAUCCUACAUGACCUAAGAAACUUCACACACCCUUGAUCGAGGUAGGAGGUGGAAGUUUCAAAAUAACUUCAAUCUUUUACUUAUCCACUUCAAAACCAUUAUUUGAAAUUUUAUGACCAAGGACAAUGCCUUCCUCAACCAUGAAAUGACAUUUCUUCCAAUUGAGUACCAAGUUUGUUUCCUCACAUCUAUCCAACACCUUGGCUAAAUUAGCAAGGCAAUAAUCAAACAAAUCCCCAACAUUUGAAAAGUCAUCCAUGAAGACCUCAAGGUAGUAUUCCACCAUGUCCAUGAAAAUAACCAUCAUACACCAUUGAAAAGUAGCAGGUGUGUUGCACAAGGCAAAAAGCAUCUACUUUGAAGAAAAGGUUCCAUAUGGGCACGUGAAAGUGAUUAUCUAUUGAUAUUCCAGUGCGAUAAGAAUUUGGUUGUAUCACGAAUAACCAUCUAAAAAAUAAUAGAAAGCAUGGCCAGCCAACCUAUCAAGCUUUUGAUCCAUGAAUGGGAGGGGAAAUUGGUCCUUCCUUGUGACUUUAUUGGGCUUUCGGUAAUCCGUACAAACCCUUCAUCUGCUAACCGUUCUUGUAGGUCAACUCAUUCUGUUAUUUGGUAACAACUGUCAUUCCCCCUUUUCUUCGGGACAUAUUGAACUAGAGAAGUCAAUGAACUAUCGAAAAUAGGGUAGAUAACCACGACAUCCAAUAAUUUGAUGAUCUCCUUUUUGACCACCUCUUGCAUAGCUUCAUUAAGUCUCCUUUGAUGUUCAAUAGAUGGUUUAGCACCAUCCUCUAACAUGAUCUUAUGCAUGCAAAAUGUGGGGCUAAUAGCUUGUAUGUUCGCCAGAGUUUAUCUAAUAGCUCUCUUCCUCCUUUGUAGGACUGCCAAUAUAGAAUCUACUUGCACAUUAAUCAAACAAGAAGAAAGAAUAACCGGUAAAGUAGAGUAAGGGCCAAGAAAAUCAUACCGAAGGUGGGGUGGCAAUGGCUUCAACUCCAAGGUGUAUGGCACUUUUGAUCAAAGGCUUUGUAAGAGGAGUCUUCUUAUUUUCAAGAUCCAAUGAUAGCUUUCGGGGUGCAUAGUUGUAAGACCACAUCCAUUGCAAAGAGUUAACACAUUCCAUGAAACCAUCUAUUUCAUCAUCAUCAAAAUUGAUUAACACGACUUCCAACAUAUCACCCACAUUGAUUGUGGCACUAGUGUCAUCAAUUAUGACAUCAGUCACCAAGUCCACUAAAGAGCACACCUCAUUGCUAUUUGGUUAACGCAUAAACUUUCACACAUUAAAUAUCGCUUGCUCGUCACCAACAAGGAAAUUGAGUUCUCUGGCCUCUAUGUCAAAAAGGGCCUUACCUGUAGCAGGGAAAGGCCUUCCAAGAAUUAUAGAUAUUUUCUAGUCCAUCACACAAUCAAGAAUAACAAAAUCCGCCGGAAGAAUAAAUUUAUCAACUCGGACCAAUAUAUCUUCAAAAAGUCUCAGUGGUCUCUUCAUUAUAUUAUCAGCCAUUUGCAACCUCAUACAUGUAGGUCUUGAUUUCCUAAUCCCCAAAGUUUUGAAAAUUGAGUAGGGCAUAAAAUUGAUAGUUGCCCAAAGAUCACAUAAAGACUUAGCAAAAUUGGCACUUCCUAUAGUAAAAGGAAUUGUGAAAGCACCUGGAUCCUCCAAUUUACGAGCCAUGGAAUAAAUGAUAGAACUGACUUGAUGGGUGAAUUUGAUUAUUUCAAAUUCCAUUGACCUCUUCUUGGUUAUAAGAUCUUUCGUAAACUUGGCAUAAAAUGGAAUUUGCUCCAAAGCUUCCACCAAUGGCAUAUUAAUAGAGAGACGAUUCAUCAUUUGAAUGAACUUCUUGAAUUGGUUCAUGCCAUUUUGCUUAUCAAGCCUUUAAGGGUAAGGAGGGGGAGACCUUGCUAAAUGUGCCUUGGCCUUUUGCACUACCGGAUCUGUCAUCUCAAUAAUAGGUUCCCUAUACAGGUUCAUCGCCUCUUGAGUCUCUACCAUAUUAUCAUCAAUGUCAAUUCGAACUUCAUCAUGUACUUGAACAUCAUUUUGUGGGACUUAUUCCUUUGGAUAAUUUGGUCAUCAUCCAUAAUUCGUUUUCCACUUUAGGCAGAUGCACUCCCACCGAUUCCACUUCUUUUGACAACCGCCAUGGCAUGCCCUGUAUUGUUACCACCCUUUGGAUUCACUACCGUGUCACUUGGUAAUGAACCCUUAGGUAGAGUAUUAAGAGUUUGAGAUAUCUGUCCCAUUUUAACUUCAAUAUUCCGAAUAGAUGUGGUAUGGUGUUGAGCAUCUGAAUCCGCAUUUCUUUUCCAUCAUUUUUUUGAACAACUGCUUAGUACGACCGAUUUCAUUACUUGUAAAACUUAAACCAUUGGAAAGGUAAUGAGGUGGGUUUUAUGGUUGUUGAUAUAUUGGAGGUCUUGGAAACUCGAACUUUGAUUUGUAUGAUUGAUUUUGUUCCCUUAAUUGACUUGACUAUUACUGACCCAAUUCCCUUUGUUGUUAUUGUUGUGACAAUUUCCUUGAUUGUUGGAACUCCAAUUGCCUUGGUUGUUUUGAGAUCACCAUUGGUUUUGGAUUGGAACCUUGUAAAUUACCUCUUUUCCCUUGAUAAUUGUUAACAUAUUGAACCUCCUUUUCUUGCUCUAUAUAGGAAUCAUCUUGCUCAUAACCACCUUCCUCUUGUGAAUAACUCUCCACUCGGGGUUGAAAUUGGGGACCUUUAGUCCGCUUCUUGUUGGCCAAAACACUCACUCCUUUCAUGGCAUGGACUUUCUUUGGAGAUUGAGUUCGGUGGACUUGAGCUUGAGCAAGUUGAGUCGUGGUAGUGGUUAGUUCCACAAUAUCUUUCCCAUGAUUUUGUAAUUCUUUAUGAAAGUGAAUCAUGUUGGGAUCUCCCUGAGGAACAAUGGCUCGGGAUUGACAAGAUGAAGAUGUCUCUGCCAUCUUAUCAAUAAUAUCACAUGCCUUUGCAUAAGGUGUUGUCAUGAAAUUACCUCCGGCCAUUUGAUUGACCAUAAAUUGAUUCAUGGUAUUGAUUUCGCGGUAGAAUGUUUGUCGAAUAAUGUUGUCGGUCAUAAAAUUAUUGGGCACUCCUUCACCAUAGUACAAUACUGCUCCCAAAUCUCAUGUAAGGGUUCAUUAUGUUCUUGCUUGAAGGCCAAUAUUUCAUGUUGUAGAUUUUCCAUGUGCCCGGGGGAGAAGAAUUCAAAAAUGAACUUUGCCACUAACUCCUCCCAUGUAUGAAUAGAAUGAUUGGGCAAGCGUUACAACCAAUUUAAGGCUUUCCUCCUUAGUGAUAAGGGAAAUAUCUUUAACAUCAAUGCAUCUUCCAAAAUAUUAGUUUGUUUGCUUUCCCAACACACAUCCACAAAACUUUUCAAAUGUAUAUAAGCAUUUUGAUGUGGCGCUCUAGUGAAAUAGCCUUGUUGCUCGAGAAAAGUGAGCAUCACAUUGGUGAUUUGGAAGCUUCCCUAUCCUAAUGUGAGGGGAGGCUAUAGCACUAGAAUACCCUUCAUUAGGCAAAUUCUGGUGUUGUGCUGCUUGGGGUUGUGGUGGUGGUGGAGGUUGGGGAGGUGGAGGCACAAUGUCUUGUUGCCCACGACCUCGAUGGUUUUAUUGUGGGGCAUGUGGCAUUUCUUUAAUUUGUUCCUCCUUUCCAUCCACCUCUCCAAAUGGUAAAUUUCCAAGUUUUUUGUUCACCAUUGGAAACCUACAAUCAAUUAAACAAGUUAGAAUCAUGAAAGUAAAAGAAGAUACUCAAGAAACAAACUCAAAUAUUUAGCUAACACUGUAAACUCCUCGAAAACGAUGCCAAAAAUUGAUCAUGUCCAAGAUACACCUAAAAGGGGAUAUGAAAUGGUUGUUGGCAAUAUAUAUUACCUACAAGAGCCGAGGUCGAACCUCAAUGAGUUUAUAAGGGUGUUAAAGUAACUAUUUAAGUAGGCAACUUGAUGUAUCUUAAAUUAUCUUUCAAACGAAGCGUAUCUACUAAUUGAACUAGGAUGUUUCUACGGACUAAACCAACAAAUACUUAAUAUGACCUAUUUCUAAGAAGUUUCAACAAAUGGAGAAAAGCCUAGAGUUGUAGUCCUACCCUAGGUGUAAACCUAAUGGGUAAAAUGGAUUAUGUUUGCUUGUUAUUGGGGUUGUUAUGACUCUCAAAACUCAAGUACUCGCUCAACACCUCUCGAUUAAAUAGUGAUUAUGCUCAAUUUUUCUUUCUCAAGUCUAAAUGGGUAGCGAUACGUGCAAGUGAUUAUGAGCCCAAGUUGGAUUAUCACUAUCUCUAGUACAAAUCUGUUAAUUAAACUAAUCAAUCCUCAACUAGAUUAACUUCUUGUUAGCCAAAUUUUCUUAGACUUAUUUCCUCUUUCUCAAGUAAGAACAAGGUCAAAUAGGCAUAAAUCAAUAUCUGCAACCAUUAAUUUCAACUUUAAAAAAUAAAUAUGGUUAAAUAAUAGUUAACGCAAUCAUAAACAAGCAUAAUAUUAAUAACCCAUAAGAUUGACACACUAGAGUUGGAUCACAACCCUAGAUAAAAAUCUAGCUACUCAUACUACAAGACAUAGAAAGAUAAAAAUAUGAAGAAAUUAAAGAAAUAAAACUAAAACAAAGAAAUAGUAGAAGAUCAUCUUUAAAUGUAGCUCAAGCUUGCUCAAAAAUAGCUAAAAGUAACUAACUCUCCAUUGCUACAGUGAAAGAUGCCCUAAAAACGCUAAAAGUUCUAUUUAUAAAACUCUCAAAAUCUCUGACAAAAAUGCCCUAAGUAGGGUUUGCGACCGCCAAAUGAGUUUUGUCGUCAGCAAUGUACUGGAUUUACUUUGUCUUUGCUAUCAGUGGAUAGAGUUAUGCGGUCGCACUUCAAGCAUCGCGGCCGCAUAUCAGCUUUUAAGGUUGCAAAUUUAGUUCUGCGGUCUGCACUAGAGUGUAAGACUCCGUAAAAGUUUACCUAAGACCUGGGAUUUUGUGGUGCCGAAGUAGGCUUAUGCAUUGGCAAUUUUAGGGAGUUGAAGAAAAGGUUUUGGGUUGAACAGUGUGUUGGGGAGUUGAAGAAAAUUUUUGGAAAUAAAGGGCAUUUUCUACGAUCCAUUCUGCGGUUGCAGAACUGAUCUGCGGACCGCAUAUCUACCGCAGACAGAGACAAAAAUUUGGGCAAAAUAUUUGGACCCUUAUGCGGUCCAUUAUGCGGCCGCAUAACCCAUCGUAGACCCAGCAUGAAAUUUUCUGGAAGGGAGUUUUACGGCGCAUUAUACGAUCGCAGAAUAGGUCUGCGGACCGCAGACCAGCCAUAAAAUGAGGCAGAAUUUCCCAGUUCCAGAGGGCCAAUGCGACCGUAGAUCUAUGUCGGGGCUUCAUUUUUCAAAUGUUUUUUACCCGACCUUAUUUUGAUUAAAGGCCCUUGGGGCUCAUUUUGAGUGAGAAAUCUGAUGUUGUAGAAAGAAGGGAGAGUAUUCUAGAGAGAGAGAAGGAGACCCUAGGCUAAUUGUUCAUCAAUUUUUGCUCAAGACAUGGAGAAUUCACAAGGAAAGCUCACAAGGUCUUCAUCUAAGAGGUAAGGUUAUAACCAUAGUCUUCAAUAUCGAGUUUAGGUAGAAGAUGGGUAAUUAGGAAUAUGAUUCUUGAGUGUGAGAGCUGUUUAUUUUACAUGCAUGUACCACCAAGUGUAGUGGGAAGAUUGUUGAGCUUGUUUGGGUAGACUUUGGGUAGAGGGAUGAAAGAAUCCACCAUAGGAGGACCUUGAAACCUUAAUGCACACCUAAUGUUUGAUAAAAUGCUCAAGUGAGCUGGAACUAUGAACUCUCUCCUAAUUUGUGCUCAAUUUUGCUAUAUUUCUAAAUAGAUCGACGAGGCUAAGAAUUCUUGAAUAUUGUAGUAAUUUAAAAAGCUCGAGGCGAGGUAUGUUGGAUAAACUUCUCUCUUAGAAUUGAAUUCCCACAAUGUUCUUGUAAGUCCCGAGUUGUACAUUGUGAAUUGAUUUUUAUGAAUAAGUUUGGUGUCGAAAUGUGUAAUUAUACGAAUAUGUUCAAAAUGUGUUCUGGAAUAUUCUUAUCAUAUUAUGUUAUUCUUCGGUAGUUCAAAGUAUGAGUAUGUAUUAAAAUAUUGUGACUUCAAGUCAAGCCCAAAUGAAAGUGAUCAUAUCAAAUUGUGUAAGAAUUCACAUGUGCCUAAGACCAUAAAUUGCUCAAAUGUGAACUUAAAGUUUUGAAUAGAAAUGUUUGUUGUUAACAAUCCGUGUUAAUAUUUGAAAGUGGAAUAGUGAGCACGAAUUAUGAAGUACGGCCAAUGUGCCAAGAAUGAUAUUGCGUUAAGGAUAAUGUUGCCAAUAAAAUGAAUGACAUGUUAAAGAAUAUGAAUUGAAAGGUGAAUACUUUUAAUAAUAAAUGCCUUGAGAGUAUCGUUUAUCCACCGAGGAAGGGUAGGUCGGAACAACCUAACCCAAAAACUACACAUGCCGGUGUAGGAGUGAUUGAGGGCUAAAUCCCCGCGUUAAUGUGAUGAGAUUGUUUCCCCUUAUAUGGGAUGAUAUUGGUGUGUUGAGAUGUUUUCCCUUAAUUGGGAUGAGAUUAUGGCUAGCGUAAUGUGAUGUGAUGUCAACCCACACGGCAUUGUGGUAAGAUGAAUUAGUCGAUCGGGCUGAGAUCAGACGCCAUGUCACGCACAUGGUGAUAUUGUGAGUGUAUGUCUCAUGGUGAGACGGCUUAGUCGGUCGGGCCGAGAUCGGAUUCCGUGCUAUGACACGGUGGUGUAUUGUGCUAAAGAUCUCCCAACUUAAAUUACUGAAACCUACUUAAAAUUUACCUUUCCCCUAACUUGACACCUUGAUAUUGUUUGAGUCUCUUAUUGAUUUCAUGUAUUACUCUCCGUUUACUGUUGCUCAUUCUAUUAAGAGGGUGUUUAGUUUUACAUACUAGUAUUAUUCCAUAUGUACUAGUGUCCCUUUUGUCGGGGGCACUGCAUCUUUAAUGGAUGCAAGUGGUUCCAUAGCAGGUGGUAUUGAUCAGUGAUAGCAGCACACCCUCUCCUCAGCUGACUUGGUGAGCUCCACUUCAUUUUGGGGUCCCGUAUCUCUUAUCCUUGUACAUAGCAUUUUGAGGUAUAGCCGGGGCCUUGUUUCUGGCAUUAUCAUAGCACUCUUUUGUUUUUGGUAGAGACUCCAUAGACAUAGUAUGGGUUGUAUCUAUUUUUGGGAAGGUUAAACUAAAAAUGUUGUAAUCGUAUUAUUUGUUCCGCUUUAUCUAUGAUUGUACAAUGUACUAUUUUGGAAACUUGUUAAUGACGUUACUAGUGGAAAUGAAAUGGUGCUAUUCACAUGACCUCUUACUGUCUAAUUAAUGAAAUGUAUCCUUCUCUUUAUUCAUGGGUGAGUUGGGUAGAAGGUAUUAUAAAGGCUUGCUUGACCGGGGUAUCUCGGUUGAGCGUCAGUCGCGCUCCCCAAGGUCGAGGCGUGACAUAGAGGAGUUUUCAGAAUCCACUAACUGCUCAUUCUCUGAUUGUUCAUGUCAUCAGUGCAAACCAUUUUGUGGAUCAAAGUGCGACGACACAUUUUCUUCUGUGGACCGGACUUUUGCCUAAAGUUCCUGAAGCUUUCGUUCAUCUUUUGUGGCCGCAUUUCUUUUUUCGCGGGCCAGAAAUCCUUUUGCGGCUGUAGUUCCAUUUAUGCAGACUGCUUUUCUUUGCACUUCUACUCUUCACUGAAUUGGCUAGGAUUAUCUCCUUAUCGUGUCAUUCUUCCCCCAAGGCCUUAAGUCCUUUCCAACACACCUGCAAUUCAACCAUUCAUACAAUUGGGAAUAAAAUUAGCAUUUUCGGACUAAAACUAUAGGAAGAAGGCACUUAUGAGUAUUCUGUGGAGAAUAUUCCUUCUAUCUAGUGGAAUUUAUGUACUAUGAUUAGAUUUUAGAUUGCUUGAGAAGGUUCGCACGACAAUCACAAGGACGAGUAUGCACUCUACAAAUGAUUUGAAGUGUGUGUUCUAACCCGUACUAUAUAAGCUUAUAAGGGAUUUAGAUAGUUAACGACGCGAGGUCAUGGCAAGUUAAGAAGGAAGGGAAUUACGGAUUAUCAGAUGUUGUGUUUGUGUCUCCAAGCCAACUGGGGGAGUAUACCAUCAAUUAUACGGUCAUUUUGGCAUAUGUUGCUAUAGUUCCUGGACAUGGAAGCACUUGUGUAAUGGAUAUGGUUUAAGAAGGGUGUGAUCUAGGAUGAUUUGGGCAAAGAAUUUUCUAGAUGCAUGAUGUGUUACACCUUAUGGAUAUAUGGAGGUUGUGGUGUGGCUUAGGUUUGAUAUACCCUUAUGGAGGUAGUGUGCAGGAGGUAGGAAUUUAUCGGUUGCUUCUUUCAGAUUAUUCAUGUGCUACCGAAGCGCUUAUUAUUCGGCAUGGUUGGCUAUGCAUUUGGGAGUAGUUCAGAGUGAGUGACUCUUGAAAAUGGUUCUUUCUCGAGAAUGGUUCUUGUGGAUUCAAGAUUCAUAUGUGGUAUCUAAGGAUUUAUGGAUUUAUAUGUGGUUAUGAUAUGGGAUUUGCAUCGGAUGAUGCCGAGACGUGCGGUACUCCCAUAUCAUCAUUGAUCCUACAUUUCAGUACUAGGGACAGGAAAGAAACAACUUCGGGUUCAUAAAAGGUCUCUUCAGAACUAUCAUCUCGGUUUGAGUUACUUAUAAGUUUGACAUUCUGCAUGACUUGGUUGAUUUAGAUGGAUUCUAUUUUGAUGGCUUGUCUAUGUGUUUAUGGGUUUCAGAGAGUUAAUGAUGGUUUUGACCACGGCUCGAGGUUGAUGUCUUCCACGGGUAUAGAAGGUUUGUUGCAUGUUGUGAUGUUCUCCUGGAUUGAGUUAAGUGAAUGAUUUCUGGUUGAUGGAUUGUUUAUCCUACUCGUGAUUCAGAUUUGAUGAUGAGAAUCCCAUAUUUUUGUAUUGUAGCAUGAUAGGUGCAGUGAGUUGUAAGGCAUUAGGAUUAAAAGGGAUAAGAUUGCAGGUUAAGAUUUGGGAGGAAUGUCAUGAGUUCUAUACAACAUGAGAGAUUUAAAAUGUUUAAGAGUACCCUAGAAAUAUCUUGUAUCGCUUGAGAAGGGAGAGUAUUGUAGAGGACACAUUGAGCAUUAAGUUGCAAAUACUUGACUAGUACUAUAGAGAUCGCAUGGUUGGUAACCGCUGAUGUUCAGGUUUUGUUAUUUGGCAUGGAAGAUUUAUGAGAGUACUCAUUAUUAGAUGUUGUGUAUGAGUGACGUAUGAGUCAUUUGAGUGAGAGAGUUGGAGAUCAUAUAUAGAGAUUCAUGUAUUCUUGAGGUUUAGAGACCGGAUGUUCUUAGAGGUAGACAAUUCCUUGGUUGCGGACUGUGAAGGUAUGUUAAGAGUUAGAUGAAUUAUUGUAUGUGUUAUGGAUAAGUCAAUGUGUACUUUUGGAAGGUUAUUUAUCUAUUUUGGGAUGAUUAGAAUUGUUUUGGGGGUUCAUUGGCAUGCCUAAUGAGAAUGUGUUUUCUACAUCGGAUCGGAUUUGCUUACUCUUGUGCAACAUUUUUCGUGGGCGUAUCAUUGGGUAGAAUGGAUGUAUUUUAUGCCUUGAUCUAUUUCAUUUGUUGCUUUCUUAUGCUAUGAUGGGUAGUGGGACUACUUGAUAAUUUACACGUAUGUUGUAUUUCUGUUUAAGCCUUGUGUCUAUAUGUAAGCGAGAUGGCUCUUGAAAUGUUGAUUUUUUUAUUGCACCGUAGUUGUGCUUGCCUUAUUCAUAGCAAUGGCUAUUUGUCUCCUCAUUUUUUUGUGUAUGCACUUCAUGUUCUUGUUGUUGUUACACCUGAGUUAGGUGGGCAUGAGAAUUAUGGCUCAAUCGGAAUUCCCAUGUGGAUUGCUAUGAUCUUGAAUCAGGUUGUAUGCCGCAACAGAGUUAUGAUAGGAUGUGUUUGCUUGUGUUAUUCCAUGUGUUUUUUCUUCUCCCUUGUGGUAUGGAUUAGUAGCUUUGUGCUUUUAUGGUUGUAUCUAUUGACUUGUAAGAUAGUUCUCUUAUUUAGUUCUCUUUCCAUUAUUGAUCAAAUUCGAGAUGUUGCUUGUUUGGUGUACGGAUUGCGUCGUAUAUGGUUCCAAGUGGCAUUUGGUGUGCCUUUACGGUCGAGCAUCUUAUACUAGGUAAAAUGAGGUUAUUGGACCUGCAAUUAGUACAAUCGGACUUGGUUAGGAUAUGUUUGGAAGAUGAAUGUCAUUAGUCAGCUCGGAAUUCGACAAUGGUCUUUGUCGAGCGAGGGAACUCCACGACUUGUUGAUAUGAUGGGUGGAUUAUGCGUUUUCUACAUGUUUCUUUCAUUAUUAGCAGUGUCGUGAAGGUUUAAAAUAAGAUUUUAUUUGAUAUAAGUAUAUUACCGGUAUCAGAUUUGGUAACGAGCAGUUAUUGUGGUCUGAAGUUAUUGUUAUGAGUACAUGAGUGAUGCGGUACAUCGUGUGAUUAGAUCUUGGUAGUACAUUGACGGCUUGAUGCAACUUGUUGAGAUUGAUACAGUGUAUUUAUGCAAGAAUCGAAACCUAUUUAUUACCUUAACCCUAGUUGCGCACCUUUAUUAUUGUUAUCCAUUAUUCCAUGACUGUCUCUUUGGAUACUCUUCUGCCCUAUAUAUGUUUUUGAGCCGCAAAAGUUAUGUGAGUAUCUUUUUAUUUAAAAAGGUCGUUACUACUUCACCAAGGUUAGUCAAGAUAUUUAUUGAGUAUAUGGGGUCGGUUGUACUCAUACUACACUUCUGUAGUUUGCGUGCACAUAUUUGGAGCUUAGCUACUGUAGAUGAUGGAGGCUAGCAUUGAAGUUGUACCAGCGUUCCAGAUAUUAGCUACCACUUGUUCACCUUUAUUAUUUUUAUCCAUUAUUCCAUGACUCUCUCUUUGGAUACUCUUUUGCCCUAUAUAUGUUUUUGAGCCACACAAGUUAUGUGAGUAUCUUUUUAUUAUUACUACUUCACCGAGGUUAGUCAAGAUACUUACUGAGUAUAUGGGAUCGGUUGUACUCAUACUACACUUCUGCAGUUUGCGUGCAGAUAUUUGGAGCUUAGCUACUGUAGACGAUGGAGGCUAGCAUUGAAGUUGUACCAGCGUUCCAGAUAUUAGCUACCACUUGUUCAUAGUUGUUUAGGACAUAAUUCUAUUUAUGCAAAUUUCAAACAGAUAUUGUAUUUUCUUUAUACCAGCAUUGUAAAUCUAAAUCUUAGUAGCUCAUGACUUGUACUACCGGCCUUUAGGAUAGUUGUAUGAAUUUCUGUCAGUUUAUUUAUUGAUUAUUAAUGAUCUUCAUUCGAGUUAUGUUAUUUAUUGUUUGACUUACCUAGCAUGUUGGAGUUCGAUGUCAUCACGACUAGGUGGGAUUUUAGGUCGUAACAACCCUAUUUCAGAUUAUUUAUAAAUAAACAUUAUAAAAAGAGUAUCUGCCGGUUUCUAACAGUUUAUACACUAUUAAUACAUGGAAGAAACCAAAAGCAAAAGGGAGACGUCAAAAUAAGUUGCUUAUUAUUAUUUUGUAUUUUUUACACACACAGUUCUGCAUAGAUGAUAAGCUAAAGUGCUCAUUUAGAUGUUAUAAUACUUUCCAGCCCUUGCCACCUCUUUUACAGUACUGCUUCAGCCUUCCGAAAAACAUGACAAUAAUUAGAAUGAACUUUCCCAUAUUACUCCAUUUUCCAGCAAAUCCAUAUGCUGCAUCUUUGCAAUGGACAUCUGGUUUUAAUUGCCUUGCACAACUAUAGCCCAUUGACAUUCCAACAGUUCCAUAUGCACUGCAAAAUUAUCAUUAGAUACAUGAGAUAGAAUGAAAAAGCAUUUUACUUUUUAUAUUUUUCUUCUUUCUUUUUUGUUCAAGAAUCGCUUUAAAUUUUUGAUCCAAUAUACUAUAUGUAUUGGGGUUAAUGAAUUGUCUUCACUUAUUAAGUUAGGAGUAACCAUCUUCACAAAUUGUGAAGUGCAUACAUUUAUGACUCACAACGCAGUUAAGAAAAGGAAAUUAAAGAUAAUACCUCUAUUGAAAGAAGAUGCCGUGAAAAAUAUUACUUCCUUUGUCCCAAUUUAUGUGUCAUAGUUCGGAUUUUUAGAGUCAAAUGUUUUAAUGUUAAUCAUGAAAUCAGACAUAAAAUCUUUAAAUUUUUAAUACAAAAAUUUAUAUAUAUGAAAACUAGAUAAAAAUAAUAUCAAUCACAAUUAUUAACAAUUCAAAAUAUUUUUAAAGCAUAUAAAAAAAUUGCGGUAAAAGAAAACUCGUCCGACUCUAGAAAUUCGAACAUUGCUACAUAAAUCGUGGCGGAGGGAAUAAAAUUCUUGUGUGUAUAAAUCCAAAUGUAUAUUUAGCGGUUGGUCUAGAAAUGAAGAAAAAUAUAGUUGUCGACUAACCUGAUGACUUCAAAGACGAUGUUGAGUACAUUGAAAUUGAGGGGAUCAUUUUUCAUUUUGUCUCUCUCUGUAAUACAAAUAAGAAUAGUGAAAAUGACCAAAUAAGAAAGAUGUGAGAAUGAUACGUACUCCACUAAGCUGCUCCCUUUUCUCCUGUUCAUUCUUUCUGUAGUUUCCAAGCGCUCUUCAUUACUAUCAAUUGGCAAAAAAGAAGUAUAGGGUGAUAGAUACCUGCAGUGACAAAGCAAAUUAAUGAAUCUAAGAAUUGUACUUUACGAUAACAACAUUACAAAUUAUUUUGUAUUAACUACUAGAGCACUUAGAGUUUGUUGUUCUCCAAUGAUAUUAUAAAUUAAGACAUUUGGCAUCUUAUUCACCCUCUCUUUUCAUAGUGGGAGAUUACGAGACUUUUUAAUGUUGAUAAAAAAGUGGGGAACACACAAGAUAAUCACAUAUGCAAGUGAAUUAGGUAUCAAGAACCUUAUUGGAGAACACUUAUCUCUAAAAGCUUCUCAUUAAGGGUAAAAUAGGUAAAAUGAAGAGUUUAAAGUUGAAUUAUUUUUAAAUUUAGAAAUGUGUCA